Corticium candelabrum is the source of this 2234-nucleotide RNA transcript. It is a transcript of the gene named tryptophan 2,3-dioxygenase-like, with no coding region annotated. Lineage: Eukaryota; Metazoa; Porifera; Homoscleromorpha; Homosclerophorida; Plakinidae. The transcript has 16 exons. The record is from RefSeq and is a predicted model, not a curated record.
AUGACCGGAACCGGCGAUGGCUAAUCUCAGUUGUCUGGAGACUGGCCGGACCUCCAGCAUUAUUUGCUGGAUUGUUCAUUAGUGGGAAAUAACUAAUAUAUAACUGAACAAGUAUCUUGUUUGUGGCAAUUUGAUGUAAUGUUGUCAGAAUAUUAGUACAUUAGUAGACUAGAGGGAAAAUUGCAUCGAGUUGUAUGGUGUUGGCAUGUUGGCUUGGUACUGUGCGGUGCAGCGCGGCAUCGUCUUUAGUAAGAAAGUGUGGAGAAUGCAGUGAGAAACGUGAAAGUACGUGUAAGUACUAAGAUGAGCUAUAGACAUUUUUAUGUGCUUGCUUUUGAGGUAGUAACUCACUGGCGGAUCUAAGCAGUUAGCAUAAAAGGGACGCAAAUAUUGUAGCUAGCACUAGCUGGUAGUCAAUUGCGUUUCUUUUAGAUUAAACCUUGCACAAUUGGCAACUGAUUUUUUACGUGAACUUAUUAUUGACAAUAUCUUUUUAAUAAACUAUUAGAGAUGAUAUCAGUUUGCAUGGUUUUAUUUACCACGUCGUCAUUUAGGCGGCAGGUUCUUAGAGUUUGUGACGAUAACAUCAAAUAGUCUCAGGAGACAAAUUCCCUGCUGACGAUACAUAAUAUACGACGUUAUCUAGGCAUAUAGAGUAAUUAAAGUAACUGCGAUUUAGUAAACAUUUUAUUCUGACUGCGACGUGCAGCAACUUAAUCAUAUGCGACACAAUUCUAGUAAGUUGUAAAUCAUGUCAAAACAAGCAAAUGUUGAAGUUCACAACGAAAUUGAUGUUACUGAUCUUGACUACGACUCGUAUCUGAGGAUUGCCGAGUUGAAGAAUCUUCAGAAGCGUCGAACAACAGAACAUGAUGAACAUUUGUUUAUCGUUAUACAUCAGGUGUAUGAAUUGUGGUUCAAGGAAGUGGACUUUGAGAUCUCUUCUGUUCUUGAUUUGAUGAAGGAUUUGCAUCGAAUUGAGGACAAAAUGUUGACUGUGUUAUCCCGCUUACAGAGAGUGAUCGUGGUUUUGAAGAUACUGGUAGAUCAGAUCAGAGUAUUGGAGACCAUGACUCCUUUGGAUUUCUUAGACUUUCGUCAUGAGCUGGGAAGCGGCACCGGAUUUCAGAGUUUUCAGUUUCAUUUGAUUGAGGUCAAGUUGGGGCUCAGACAGGCUGAUCGCGUUGGUCAUGGGAAACUCUGCAGAACUCAGUACACAGAAACCCAUUCAGAUUUCAGGAGUGAUCUUGAGAAAGCAGAAAGUCCCGGCCCAUCUUUGUUCGAUCUUGUGGAGCGAUGGCUCGAAACAAAUGCGAGUGAUUCGUUCUGGCAGACUUACUGUAAAGGUGUGGAUGACUACCUAAAAGAAGAGAAAGCACGCUUGGAUUUCGAGAACGAAAAACACAUGAAAAAGUUUGAAACUUUGGAGAGUUCAUUUGAGGACAUUAAACGCGAAAGCCGUUACUCUGCCAAGAAAGUCAAACUUCUUCAGGAAUCUACUAACACAAACGGAGAAACUAAAUUCGAUGAAAAGGGAGAAACCCAGAGAGAAAUAGUUGAAAAGCCAAUGUUUCGUCUGUCUCACAAAGCAGCACAGGGCGCUAUCAGGAUCAUUCAGAACAGAGAUGAUCGGCAAUUUCAUACUUCAUAUCAGUUGUUGAGCCUCUUGAUGGAUGUAGACUCUCUGUUGAUGCACUGGAGAAACAAUCAUUCUCUCUUUGUUCACCGCAUGAUCGGCAGUAAAAUGGGAACCGGAGGAUCCGGUGGAUACGAAUAUCUUCGAAAAACGGUUGCAAGUGAGACCUACAGGAUCUACUCUGAUCUCUUCAAAUUGUCGUCGUUUCUAGUACCGAGAAGAUGCAUUGGUGAUGCAGAAUCGUGAUGAGAUGAUGAAGGCAACUACUAAUUACUAAUUAAGUUACAGCUAGCUAACAUUUGCUAAUCAAUCUCAUUUUGUUCACCGCGUGAUUGGCGGCACAACAGCAACGGGAGGGUAGGAGGAUACUAGAAUUUCUGAGAAGUUGCAAGUGAUCUCUUCAUCGUUCUUAGUGCUGAAAAGAUGCGUUGGUAAAUCAAUCAAAGAAUUUGAAGCCUCCUAAUUGCUUAAUUAAGUAACUCAAUUGCAAGGACUAGACUUUUCCUAACACGUUUUGCUAUUGAUUAAUAAUUAUGUCAGGUGUUUAGAGUGCAAUAAUAAAUUCGAUUGUUUUAUAACUUUGGUUUAGAUUAAAAUU